RNAcentral lists this ribosomal RNA (1525 nucleotides) under uncultured bacterium. RNAcentral describes it as "16S ribosomal RNA". It matches the Rfam family "Bacterial small subunit ribosomal RNA". The record is from RNAcentral.
UGGCUCAGGAUGAACGCCGGCGGUGUGCCUAAUACAUGCAAGUCGUACGCACUGGCCCAACUGAUUGAUGGUGCUUGCACCUGAUUGACGAUGGAUCACCAGUGAGUGGCGGACGGGUGAGUAACACGUAGGUAACCUGCCCCGGAGCGGGGGAUAACAUUUGGAAACAGAUGCUAAUACCGCAUAACAACAAAAGCCACAUGGCUUUUGUUUGAAAGAUGGCUUUGGCUAUCACUCUGGGAUGGACCUGCGGUGCAUUAGCUAGUUGGUAAGGUAACGGCUUACCAAGGCGAUGAUGCAUAGCCGAGUUGAGAGACUGAUCGGCCACAAUGGAACUGAGACACGGUCCAUACUCCUACGGGAGGCAGCAGUAGGGAAUCUUCCACAAUGGGCGCAAGCCUGAUGGAGCAACACCGCGUGAGUGAAGAAGGGUUUCGACUCGUAAAGCUCUGUUGUUGGAGAAGAACGUGCGUGAGAGUAACUGUUCACGCAGUGACGGUAUCCAACCAGAAAGUCACGGCUAACUACGUGCCAGCAGCCGCGGUAAUACGUAGGUGGCAAGCGUUAUCCGGAUUUAUUGGGCGUAAAGCGAGCGCAGGCGGUUGCUUAGGUCUGAUGUGAAAGCCUUCGGCUUAACCGAAGAAGUGCAUCGGAAACCGGGCGACUUGAGUGCAGAAGAGGACAGUGGAACUCCAUGUGUAGCGGUGGAAUGCGUAGAUAUAUGGAAGAACACCAGUGGCGAAGGCGGCUGUCUGGUCUGCAACUGACGCUGAGGCUCGAAAGCAUGGGUAGCGAACAGGAUUAGAUACCCUGGUAGUCCAUGCCGUAAACGAUGAGUGCUAGGUGUUGGAGGGUUUCCGCCCUUCAGUGCCGGAGCUAACGCAUUAAGCACUCCGCCUGGGGAGUACGACCGCAAGGUUGAAACUCAAAGGAAUUGACGGGGGCCCGCACAAGCGGUGGAGCAUGUGGUUUAAUUCGAAGCUACGCGAAGAACCUUACCAGGUCUUGACAUCUUGCGCUAACCUUAGAGAUAAGGCGUUCCCUUCGGGGACGCAAUGACAGGUGGUGCAUGGUCGUCGUCAGCUCGUGUCGUGAGAUGUUGGGUUAAGUCCCGCAACGAGCGCAACCCUUAUUACUAGUUGCCAGCAUUAAGUUGGGCACUCUAGUGAGACUGCCGGUGACAAACCGGAGGAAGGUGGGGACGACGUCAGAUCAUCAUGCCCCUUAUGACCUGGGCUACACACGUGCUACAAUGGACGGUACAACGAGUUGCAAACUCGCGAGAGCAAGCUAAUCUCUUAAAGCCGUUCUCAGUUCGGACUGUAGGCUGCAACUCGCCUACACGAAGUCGGAAUCGCUAGUAAUCGCGGAUCAGCAUGCCGCGGUGAAUACGUUCCCGGGCCUUGUACACACCGCCCGUCACACCAUGGGAGUUUGUAACGCCCAAAGUCGGUGGCCUAACCUUUAUGGAGGGAGCCGCCUAAGGCGGGACAGAUGACUGGGGUGAAGUCGUAACUAGGUAACC